CAACCUCCUACACGAUUUUACGCAGCUUCACAGAAUGGGGGUGGCGGGGGGGGGGGGGGGGGGGGGUAGUGGUGGGGGAGUAAAAUCACUUUUUUUAAGCUAAUAUAAAUUUAAAUGCUGAGACUUUUCAAAAUGGGGCUUUAAUGUGACUUACAAAUUCAUAUAUAUAUAUAUUCAUAUAUAUCUAAAAUACACAUAUCAAUAUUAGUCUGGCUCAGAGAAGAAGACAGGGUUACAAAAACCCCUAAAAGCUUAUUUUCCAACACAAGUCUUGGUCUUGGCUUCCCAGAUGCUAUUGGUCUUAUCAGAUAGCCAGAAAAUGCUGGUCAUUGCUUAGCUUUCUAAAAGGGCAGUAGGUAACAACACAUGAGCAAAGGGGUCGACUUCCUAUGGCAACCAUUCCAUAAAUGGCAAAGCAUUUUUAUACCGAGCAAGAUUAAUGGCAGAUUUCUUUUUUAAAAAGUUAAAUGACAAAGUCGAAUUCUUCCAAAUAUUUACCUUCCAAUGUUUAAGAUAUGGAAGAUCUACUGAAAUCUCACCUAAAGUAAAUUACUUUGUUUUUCAUUUGGCAAUUUUUUUUUUUUCUCUUUCCUUGCUCAUUUCCUCCUGUCGGCUGGCCUGCCUAGGAGGGCAGCUUCCUCGGGCUCGGUCGGUAAACGGGGCAGCGGGCAGCGGGCAGCGGGCAGUCGGGCCUCUGUAAGGAGAUCCCAACCCCACGCCCCUGGACAUCUGAAACCUGAAGUUGAACUACUUGGAGGCUGGUCGAGUUCUCCCCCCAAAACCUCCAGCCACAGGAUCGGGGUGGGGGACACCCCCUGCUUCAUUUCAGAGCUGACGUUUGCCACCCUGGGGUCUAGCAAAAACCAGAGGCGAACUCUCCGCGCUCUCCCGGUAAAUCCGCAUCCACUCCGGGGCGCGAAGCUGAAGGGCAGGGCGUGCUCGGUGGCGAGCCCGAGCCGGGGCGCUCGGGACCCCGCUCCCUGCGCGGGGGGUCCGGGCCGGGCGGCCGUGUGCGCUCCGGGGGCCGCUCCGUUGGCCUCCAGGGCGGCGCAGGGGGCACGCGCGCCUAAGGUGGGCCACCUGCGGGGAAGGAACCGGGCGGUGAGGCCGCACGGGCAGGGGCGCAGACCGGGGACCGCGCGGGGCCGGGGAGCGCGGGGGCGGGGGCGGCGGGGCUGGCGCACGGGCCUCGCCUUCCCCAGCAGGGGGUCCGCAGGGGACCCGACCUCCCAGCCUCGCCGCCCAGGCGUCCCCCAGCCCACGACCGGCCCCUCGCUCCCGGCCGCGCGGGUCCCCGCCCCCCGGAGCAGCGGCGCCGCGGGGCGGGCGGGCCGGGAUGCGCUCGUCCGCUACCUGUCGGCGGGAGGCGAGCACCGGGCGCCCGCACGUCGCGCCGGCGGGACUCGGGGCCGCAGCGGAGCGCGCCGGGCAGCAGUGGGCGCUCGCGAUCCUCCGCUGCCCUGCGCGCUCUCCCUCAGGGCCCGGCCUCCUCCGUCCCCUCCUCCUGCUCCUGCUCCUCCUCCCGCUCCUCCCCUCGGCGGGACUGCUCGCCUAGCCUCCCGCCUGCACAGUCCCCGGCGCGCCGGCAGCCACCAGACGCCGCCACCGCCGGGUCUCCGCGGGUGCCCGCGCCCCUGCCUCGGCCGGCCGUCCCGAGGCGCCCCGAAGCUCGUCCGCCGGCCGCCGGUGCUCCGCGGCCCUGCCCAUGGCUCAGCCCGAGAGCCGACUUCGGGCGCCGGACCGGCUCGACAGCGGCGCGGCUCAGUAACCGGCGGCCCGCGCCCCCCAUGUGUCCCUGAG
Molecule: long non-coding RNA, 1800 nt
Filed under: Canis lupus familiaris (dog)
Lineage: Eukaryota; Metazoa; Chordata; Mammalia; Carnivora; Canidae
Description: lncRNA (ENSCAFG00000041098.2)
Source: RNAcentral